GACGAACGCUGGCGGCGUGCUUAACACAUGCAAGUCGAACGGAAAGGCCCUUCUGGUGUGUGGUGCGCGAAUGGCGAACGGAUGAGUAACACGUGAUUAACCGGACCUUGACUUUGGGAUAGCUUCAGGAAACUAGUACUAAUAACGGAUAGGAGCUCCUUCUGCAUGGGUGGGGUGGGAAAGUUUCGGCGGUUGGGGAUGGACUCGCGGCGUAUCAGCUUGUUGGUGGGGUAGUGGCUUACCAAGGCUUUGACGGGUAGCCGGCCUGAGAGGGUGACCGGCCACACUGGGACUGAGAUACGGCCCAGACUCCUACGGGAGGCAGCAGUGGGGAAUAUUGCACAAUGGGCGGAAGCCUGAUGCAGCAACGCCGCGUGCGGGAUGACGGCCUUCGGGUUGUAAACCGCUUUCGCCUGUGACGAAGCGUGAGUGACGGUAAUGGGUAAAGAAGCACCGGCUAACUACGUG
RNAcentral lists this ribosomal RNA (468 nucleotides) under uncultured bacterium. Its description in RNAcentral is "partial 16S ribosomal RNA". It matches the Rfam family "Bacterial small subunit ribosomal RNA", at positions 28 to 507 of the family's 1533-position model. The record is from RNAcentral.